Molecule: long non-coding RNA, 431 nt
Organism: Triticum dicoccoides
Lineage: Eukaryota; Viridiplantae; Streptophyta; Magnoliopsida; Poales; Poaceae
Exons: 3
Source: RefSeq, a predicted model, not a curated record
UCAGGUUUCAUCGUUCCUUCCAGCUCUAGGAUCCUCAUCAGAGCAAAAGAUCAAAAUUUUGCCGCAGUCUCCUCUUGUAUCUCUUCAAACGGUCGCAUCAGUAGCUGAGCCUAGCGAGGACGAAAGCCAGGAGAACCACAAGGUGUUGCCCUCGAGCGAUGGAAGCAUGAGGUGGAAGCUACCUGGACUUGGACUUAGCUUUCUAAGGAGUUCAUCUGAUGUAUAGAUGAUAUUACUGGCAUGAGCUGUAGAACUCCACGGAUUUUCUUUUGGAAAUGCUCAUCUGUAUUUCCAGCGAGAUAACAUUUGUAGCGACAACUUGGAUUUCACUUAUAGUUAUGUGUGGCCUUGUGUAAAUAGGUAUACUCGCAAUAGUUGUCUUGAUUAUACAUUUACACCAUAUGGUAGAAGAUGUAAUCUUUUUAUGCCAA